GAUGAACGCUGGCGGCGUGCCUAAUACAUGCAAGUCGAGCGAACAGAUGAGGAGCUUGCUCCUCUGACGUUAGCGGCGGACGGGUGAGUAACACGUGGAUAACCUACCUAUAAGACUGGGAUAACUUCGGGAAACCGGAGCUAAUACCGGAUAAUAUAUUGAACCGCAUGGUUCAAUAGUGAAAGACGGUUUUGCUGUCACUUAUAGAUGGAUCCGCGCCUCAUUAGUUAGUUGGUAAGGUAACGGCUUACCAAGGCAACGAUGCGUAGCCGACCUGAGAGGGUGGUCGGCCACACGGGACCUGAGACACGGUCCAGACUCCUACGGGAGGCAGCAGUAGGGAAUCUUCCGCAAUGGGCGAAAGCCUGACGGAGCAACGCCGCGUGAGUGAUGAAGGUCUUCGGAUCGUAAAACUCUGUUAGUAGGGAAGAACAAAUGUGUAAGUAACUAUGCACGUCUUGACGGUACCUAAUCAGAAAGCCACGGCUAACUACGUG
Molecule: ribosomal RNA, 497 nt
Filed under: uncultured bacterium
Lineage: Bacteria
Description: partial 16S ribosomal RNA
Rfam family: Bacterial small subunit ribosomal RNA
Source: RNAcentral